This 292-nucleotide ribosomal RNA is filed under the name uncultured bacterium. Its description in RNAcentral is "partial 16S ribosomal RNA". It matches the Rfam family "Bacterial small subunit ribosomal RNA", at positions 505 to 796 of the family's 1533-position model. The record is from RNAcentral.
GUGCCAGCAGCCGCGGUAAUACAUAGGGUGCAAGCGUUAAUCGGAAUUACUGGGCGUAAAGCGUGCGUAGACGGUUAUGUAAGUCAGAUGUGAAAGCCCCGGGCUUAACCUGGGAAUGGCAUUUGAGACUGCAUAGCUAGGGUGCGGAAGAGGGAGGCGGAAUUUCCGGUGUAGCGGUGAAAUGCGUAGAUAUCGGAAGGAACACCAGUGGCGAAAGCGGCUUCCUGGUCCAGCACCGACGUUCAGGCACGAAAGCUAGGGGAGCAAACAGGAUUAGAUACCCUGGUAGUCC